RNAcentral lists this long non-coding RNA (29239 nucleotides) under Salvia miltiorrhiza (redroot sage). RNAcentral's name for it is "long non-coding RNA (SMIL_LNC005299)". Lineage: Eukaryota; Viridiplantae; Streptophyta; Magnoliopsida; Lamiales; Lamiaceae. The record is from RNAcentral.
GAAGCGGAGGUUUUACGGCCUCCCCGCCUCCGCCCUAAAAAGACACGAUGCUAAAAAUCCGACCAGCCGCCGCCGCGCGCGCGGCGGUCCGGCGGAUUAAGUCGCCCCCCAGCCACGGAAGCAACGUCGGAACUCCUGCUUCCUUCCAUUCUCAAUUGAAUAAUUCAAUUCACCCUCCGUUAGCUUCCGAAGCUAAGGCGUCCUUCAUCGCUGGGAAUAGAGCUAGGGAUUUUAGUUGUUCCUCAAUUAGAUUGUUCUCGACUUGCUCGAUCUCGAAUUGUAGCACUAGCGUCGAGAAUGCCGACGUUGACGCCGACGCCGAAGCCGCGGCUGCUGAGGCAGCGGCGGCUUACUUGACGAUGCGGAACGCGGCGAUGGAUGACGCGUUUCAUGCGAUCGAACUGGCGUUGGAUUCGGUGGUGAAGAUUUUCACGGUGGCGAGUAGUCCGAGCUAUUUUCUGCCCUGGCAGAACAAGUCUCAGCGGGAAUCCAUGGGCUCUGGUAUGUGAAUGUUUUGCUCUGUAUCUUAUUUUAGUUUGCUCAUUUUGUGCAAUUCAGCUCAUUUACAUAAAGCUGACUUAUUUUUGUGAAAUGUAUUACUGUAUUUAAUUUGGACCUGGCAUCGUUUUAGCUGAAAAAUGGCAGCAUGAGUAGAAAAGCAGAAGCUUUUUCUUUAGUCAGUUUGAUGGAUGGUGAUGGAUUUAAGGUUGUACUAGCUGAAGGAACUUGCUUUUGAACUUUAUAAGUCGGUUGACAUUAAGAUACAGUUUCGAACUUUUGUUGUUUUAGGUAAAUUGUGCUGCUUUUUUAGUUAGAUGAAGUGGUAAAUUAGCUUUAUAUUGAUGCUUAAGGUAUGGCUUUUUUAGGGGGCGUUUACUUUUGAGGAUAGGCUUGAUAGAUAAAAAUAGUAAGGCUAAUCCCUUGUUUACUUAGAUGGAUUGAAACUUUGGGAUAUCUUAAGGCCCUUGAUUAUAUCUAUCAUUUAAGCUAGUUUUGCUUGAUUCAUAUUCCAUUGAAAGGGUGAGAUUGGAGAAAUCAUACUCUCGAGGAUAAAAAUACUCAAUCGACAAUCAUGCAUCUUAUCAAUCACACAAAGUAAACGUCUCCCUAUGGUUUUACUGCAGGAUUUGUUAUCUCGGGAAGGAGAAUCCUGACCAAUGCUCACGUUGUGGCGGAUCAUACUUUUGUCCUUGUAAGGAAGCAUGGCUCUCCUGCCAAAUAUAGAGCACAUGUCCAGGCUGUUGGUCAUGAAUGUGAUUUGGCUAUCUUGGUGGUCGACAGUGAAGAGUUCUGGGAAGGGAUGAACUUUUUGGACCUUGGCGAUGUUCCGUUUCUCCAAGAGUCUGUUGCAGUUGUUGGUUAUCCUCAAGGUAAUGUUCAUUUAUCUUCCUCUAGGCAUUGCAUUGGAUAUUCAUUACUCGUUCUGAAUGAGGAAGAUACCUUUGUUGGUUGAGCCAUUUAAUAGAAGAACUUAUAUAUGCAANNNNNNNNNNNNNNNNNNNNNNNNNNNNNNNNNNNNNNNNNNNNNNNNNNNNNNNNNNNNNNNNNNNNNNNNNNNNNNNNNNNNNNNNNNNNNNNNNNNNNNNNNNNNNNNNNNNNNNNNNNNNNNNNNNNNNNNNNNNNNNNNNNNNNNNNNNNNNNNNNNNNNNNNNNNNNNNNNNNNNNNNNNNNNNNNNNNNNNNNNNNNNNNNNNNNNNNNNNNNNNNNNNNNNNNNNNNNNNNNNNNNNNNNNNNNNNNNNUAAUUUUGACAAUACUAGUCCUUUCCAUUGAAGAUAAAUACACAAGUUACCUCAAAUAUGUAGAAAUAAUCAAGAAUUUUAUGGUAUCUUUCAAUUCAUCUCAAAUUUUAUGAAUCAUACUAUAUUUUUUUAAGAAUUUACGACUUAUUAAUAAUUUGAUUUGGGCCUUGGAGUUUAUAGGGGCAAAAUAGUAGAUUUACAUGUAAUCUUUCAGUCAGUAAGAAAAUAUCACAAUAUUACUUGAAUGAAAAUGAUACUUUCUUAUUGGACGGAUAAACAAAUUAAAAAGUGAAACUAUGGGACGAGUUUUUUUUUCAAUAAAAGGGACUAUUAUAAUUAUAAAUUAUAAAAAUAGGAGUUUAUAUUUAUAUAGAACAUGGGAGGCACAAUUAAUUUGGUGGGUAAGAAUUUCUUCAAAAUAAAAAUAAAAAUGGUGGAUAAGAAAAUACUAGUUGAAACGAAGGCCCAAUUCUAAAGUUAUUGGGCCACAAGCUGCUCCCGUAAGUUAAAUAAAAAACACAAUACAAAAUAGACAAGAAGAAAACCAACGUAAAUCAGAAUCUAAUUUUCGUAACGCUCAAGAAAUUGAAACUGAACUCCCGGAAAAGGAGAAGCAAUCGAAGCGAAAACGUCGAGAUUGAGGUGAAAUGGACGUGAUAAAGUCGCAGCAGAUACUGUCGCGGCCGAUCGAGAAAGUGGUGGUGCACCCGCUGGUGCUGCUCAGCAUCGUCGACCACUACAAUCGGGUGGCGCGUGACACCAGGAAGCGCGUCGUCGGAGUUCUCCUUGGAACUUCCUUCAAGGGCACCGUCGACGUCACCAACAGCUACGCAGGUUGUUUUUAAUUUCAGAUCUGAUCGUUUCCCGCUUCUUCCUUUUUUGAUUUUUCUUCAGUAAUUUCAACUCUUCCAGUGUUUCUGAAUUUCAUGGAGUUUGGAUUUGAUUGGUAUUAUUAUUGAAUUUUCUGUGAGGCGAUGAGUUCGGGAAAUUCUAGUGUAGCAUUUGAUGAUUCGUGUUUACAUGUUAUAUUUAUUGUUGACUUGUGUAGUAGUAUGCUACAUCUGACGGGGCAAACACCCCCCUUUUAUCAAAAUAAUAACAACAAUAAUAAAAACUUGGAGUUUAUUGAGCUAAAUACGGGUUUGAGUAUAUGAAUACGUUUUGAAAAUAAGCAUAUAUAGACUGAGUCUUCAUAAUUCUACGAUUACAAAAUUAGUGUCUUAUAUUUCCCAUUACUAAAGUAUUAGGCCCCCUAUUUCCCAUUCUACGACAGAAUCUUACUUUGACAAGGCUAUUUGAGUUGUUAUAGAAUCAGUUGACAAGUACAUUUCAAUUUCAUACAACUGAUUUUCUUGUCUCCAAUAAAGAUGGUCUCGUUCUUGAGUAUUUUAGCAAGUUCUCGUGGUCCCCAAUUAUGGGUAUUAUGACAUAAAAGGGUUUAAUAUCUGGACGCCCUGGAUCAGGUUUGACUGUAAGAGUCUUCAUAACCAUAGGUAUUAUUGUCACUCUUAAAUGAUGCAUCAUCUCUCUUCUGUCUUUCCUGAAUGUUUCUUUCCAUUAUUUAGUGUUGUUAAUGAGUUAUGCAUGCCAUGAUUUUCUAUAACAUAUUGACUUGAUUUGAACAGUGCCUUUUGAGGAAGAUGAAAGGGACCCUAGCAUCUGGUUUCUUGAUCAUAAUUACCAUGAAUCAAUGUUUUCCAUGUUCAGAAGAAUAAAUGGUUUGCUAUUUUUCAUGACCUGUUCCCGGCUGAAUAUAUUUCUAAGUUUCGCGUCUAAUUCAACACAUUUAUCUCAUGUCAGCCAAGGAGCAUGUUGUUGGCUGGUAUAGCACCGGUCCAAAACUAAAGGAAAAUGACCUAAGUGUGCACAGUCUUUUCAAUGAGUAAGAUCUCUUUCUAAUCUUGUUGUCUUUUCUUUUGGGUUGCUCUAUAUUCUAUCGUUUAGUUGAUCUUCUUAUUGAGCUUAAGACCCAAGGCUUACCCUUUACCACUGUUGUUAUCAUUUUGAGGAGGCUAGGUAUCUGUUGAACUGCACAUUUAUUAUAUUUGUCUCUUUGAUUGUGUCAUGUCAUAUCCUUCUAACACCUCUGAGCAUAAUGCUUUACUUUGACCUCCUUCACAUGUAAGGAUAUUCAGUGUCACUGUGCAAACUCUAUGUUAAUUCACACUUCAUGUUAUUGUAGCUAUGUCCCCACUCCAGUGUUGGUCAUUAUUGACGUCCAACCAAAAGAGCUUGGGAUACCCACUAAAGCCUAUUAUGCUGUUGAAGAGGUUAAAGAGGUAUCUAAAAUUUACUGAUAUUUUACUCCUUGUGUAAUGUAUCAUGUACAUUUUUUCGCUCCUUGUAUUUCAAGUUCUUCCUACUCUAUGGCACAAAACAAACACUUAAAAUGUAAUGCAAUGAGGACACUUGUGCAUAUAAAAUGCCUUGAUGUACCAGAAACCGUCACUGGAGGAUUUUUAAUUAUGUCUUGAAAACUUGCAGAAUGCCACUCAAAAGAGCCAGAAGGUAUUUGUGCAUGUUCCUUCCGAAAUCGCUGCUCAUGAAGUUGAAGAAAUUGGUAUAUUACUACCCCAGUAGAGUUCUUUUUCUUUGGAAUACUACUCCCUCCGUCUCUUAAGAGUGUGCAUCACUUUUGGUGACAUGGGUUUUAAUAAAUGUUAGGUGAGUGUGUUGUGAGUGGAGAGAUGGACCCACUUUAUUGUGGUGGGAUAGUGUCCAAAAAUGGAUAAUGCACAUUCUUGUGGGACGUACCGAAAUGAAAAAAAGUGCACACGUACAAUCAUUGUAAUUUUAUGAUAUGGAUGUGAUAGACCAACUCCUUAUCACUUCCUGUCAUCUUGGUUAUGACAGGAGUUGAACACUUGCUAAGGGAUGUAAAGGACACAACUAUCAGCACCCUUGCAACUGAGGUUUCUUUUCUCUUCUUCCCUCCUUUCUGCCUAUUCAUGGUUAUCAUUUCUUCAAAUUCUUAUACUCCAUGUCUCCAUGUAUAUUCCUGUGUAAUCAUCAUGGUAUGAAAGUUAUUGAUUCUAAUAUAAGUGGUAGAAAUGAGAAAUUUAUCUUUAUGACCUUUCUCCAGGUGACGGGGAAACUCGCUGCUCUGAAGGGAUUGGAUGCAAGAUUGAAAGAGAUUCGAAGUUAUCUCGACCUGGUUAUAGAAGGGAAGCUGCCUUUAAACCAUGAAAUCCUCUACCAUCUCCAGGUAUCGUUUUCACAUUUUGGUAAUGUUGAUAUGUAAACUGCACAUAUAAUUGGGAUUGUAUAUCUGUUUUCUUGUAAUUCUGGUCUGGAUAGAUCAUUUCCAAAUAGCAUCUCAUUUUUAAUGUAACCUGACUUGUGCAGGAUGUGUUCAACUUACUCCCAAAUCUAAAUGUAACUGAACUUGUCAAAGCAUUUGCUGGUAAUCAAGUUGGCUGUUGUUUAUUCGUUAUUUGCUUUAUUAAUCAGUAGUUCUCAGGAUUUAGGCAUCUUCCUGAUGCAAAUAUUAUCUUCUUCUCUGCAGUCAAAACAAAUGAUAUGAUGUUGGUCAUAUAUCUGUCGUCCCUUAUCAGAAGUGUGAUUGCCCUACAUAAUUUGAUCAACAACAAGGUGAAAUAUUCUUCGCUCUUCUUCUUCUUUGAAAUUUCAAUCAGAAAAUUAAAGCCAGAAUUUAUAGAGAAUAUUUUGUUGAUUCAUCUGGUCUUUCAGGCUAGGCUUCUGAGUGACUUUUUGCAUAAGACAGAUAUAUAAUGUUGUUAUUAUGUCCAACCUGCUAAAAAAAGAAGAAUUGAGAUGGAUAUAAGUUGCAUUGUAACAUAAUGUAUGAGCAGAUAAGCCAAAGACCUCUUUCACUUCAUUCUAGAAUAAUUAUGAGGCAAAGUGGCAUUAGACCUGUUGUAAGAUCUCUUUCCAGAUGGGACAUGAUAUAGCAUAUGAAUGGUGUGUUGCGUUAGUUUCCAGGAACUAAAUUUUACAUAUGUUAAAACCAGAUCGACUUGUUGGCUGUUGAUUUUGCUUUAGACAAAUUGUUCUUAAUUUGUGACUGACAGUUUGGAAUUAUGAUAACAGAUGCUUAACAAAGAACAUGAAAAAACAGAAGAUUCAAAGCCAGUUGCAGUGCCUACUGCUGGAAGCUAAAAGCAAACUUUUCAGGUGAGCACAAAUCGGUGUGUGAAUGCUCCAAUUUCAUAGCACAACGCGAUCUCUGGAUUCGGAGAUGCAGUUAUAUACUAGACGUCACAGUCCUCUUACAAUCCAGUCAAGUCUCGAUGCCCCUCUUCGAUUUCAUCCACAACAAAGCCCGGGACUCGGCCAAUCAUCAGUUAACCUGAUGACUGGUAAUCAUCAAGCCAUUUCAGCUUUAUGGGCUGUAAUUGAAUAGCACUCUGCUGCAACGAAAGAUAAUUUUAUAUUCUCUAUCUGAUCAUGUCAUUAAUACUUCCAUAUUUUGUGGUUACUUUUUUCUCCGAUUUAUGUACAUUUCAUUUCAUUACUCAAUUGGCUCAGUUUUCAUCUCAGUAUUAUUGUUUCAGAAGAGAAUACCAAUUAAUAGAGGCAUCAGUGUAUCUCAUACAGCAAAAUAUUAUUCUGACUUCUGUGGCUUACUGUGGUGCAUUAGGAUGCACAAUCCAUUAACCUUAAUUAAAAAUUAAUAAUAAUUAAUACAUUUUAAUUGAUAAUUAUCAAUUUCUCAUUAUAAAUUAAUAAAUUCUAAUGAAGAAAUUUGAUGAACACAAAUUGAAUUUAAUUAUGAUGUACAUGUACCUUACAUUCGAUGCACAAUGUUUUUCCCUCCUAUUUUAUACACAUGGAGUACUAUAUAGACUUAUACAAAAUUUUAAAAAUAAAUGCAUCUUGUAUAAAUCGUGCGAAAUAAGGAUGUAGAAGAUCAUUGUUGAACAAUUGAUUGUCUAUGCAAAUCAGAUAAGAAAAAUUGUUGGUAGAGGUAGAGGUGGCUUCAGUGAUAUAAAAAAAAGUUAGACAAUUUGACAUGAAAAUUAUUUGAGCAAUCAGUGUUUAACUAAAACACAGUUUGAAUGGAUUAAAAGAAAAGUUUGAAUGAAGAAUAGAUGUGAUUGUGAAAAAAUUUGCUCCCUACAUUCACAAUCAUUAUCGAACGUCCUCAAAAAUUAGUCUAUUUCUAUUUUUAGAACUUUCUAUCUACCAUUUUCUCCAUUCAUAAUAUAAUUAAUUAUUAUUAUUAACACUACUUUUUAAGUGAAAUUCUUUUUCAAUCAUAAUACACUCAGUUAUUUUUAUUAAAAUUUGUGUUAUCUCCUUCAAAACUAUCUUUUAUGAAUAAAAGAGUAAUUUGGAUAUGUUGCGUUUUGAGAUAGAGGUCAAUAUUGGGGGUUAGGGUAGCUCCGCGGGGCCCACUUUGGUAAAUCCGGCGGAAAUUGACAAGAGUGCCGAAUCUAUUUAAAACCAGUUGCUAUUUCGAAUAUGAAUUCCAAUCAUAUGAUUUCAUUCUCAAAAUUCAUCGAAAGUGGUCACAUAGUGUGUGUGAAGAUAUCAAAGCCGUUAUUUGUGAAUUCAUAUUGAAUACCUAACUUUAAGAAUCGAGAGCGAUAGUAAAAUAUAAUUAAAUUGAUAAAAAUGUUUAUUGGCUUCGCAAUCAGCCUAGAUCCAUUGACUGCACAGAAACGGUGUUGAUGAGAGAAUUGCAUGCCUUACUCGUUGCAAUUGGUUUCUGCUUGGAGGCCGAUUGUGAUGUUUAUUGACUCGUUGCUUGCUAUCCACGUUAUUUAUAAUACUAAUAAAAGUUAUGAGUCGUUGACCGAGAAGCUUUUCAACAUGUUCGAAAAAGCGGUGUUUAAAUUAUGUCAUGUUCGUAGAUGUGCAAUUAUAGAGCGGCACAUGCUUUAGCUAAUCUGGUGUUGUUUCGGUUUGGAAGGCUGAUUUUUUGGCCUGAUUUAUUGACAUUAUCCACAAAUAUUUAAUAGAAUGGUCCAUCUUUUAUCUCCAAAAAAAAAAAUUGUGUUUAUAGCGGGAAUUAUGGUACAAAAUCAUGUAUCAUUCUGGACAUAACACCCUAAAUUCAAAAUAAAUAAUUAUGAGCGUAUUAAAAGAAUUGGGCUUUUCGAAAACAAAUGUGUAAACAACUAAACAUAUUUCUCUCUGUUUAUGAAAAAUAUGUUACAAUUCUUUUCCAUUCAUUCACAAAAAAUUUAUUACUUUCAUUUAUAGUACUUAGUAAGGUUCACAUAACUUCAUUAUUCAACUAACAACUCUACUUAUAUUUACUAAAAUUCGUGUUGUCUAUAACGUGACAAAUUUUUUAUGGACGGAGAGAAUACAGUAAAAUAACUAAAUCGUGACUAUCGAAUAAAAACCCAACCAGAAGCCCAUUUUUUCUUUUUUAAAUCAAGGUCUAGCCCAAGUUUCUAAUUUCCAAUGAAAAAUAACUCCUUUUUCUUUUUUCUUUUUUAGUAAUUCAUUUUUCUUUAUAAAAAAAAGAAAAAAGAAAGGGGGGAUUUUAGGAACGAGAGCAGAUUCGAUUGCAAGAAUUGGGAUGUCAAGAAGUUAUGUGGAGAAAUCAAAGCACCGAUGUUGAGCUGGAAUAAGAUCUUCAACUUUUUUGAUAAGGAGACAAAUUUCAUGCUUUGCUGCUCUAAAGAUGUGUCACCUUUUCUCGUGUAACUGAUGGGUACCUCUGGUACCAUAACUUUUUGAUUUUAUCCCAAGUAAACCAUUUUUUCUGAUGAAAAAAAAAAGGAGAAAAUAUAAUACAACACACUAAUUAAGCUCCGACUACUAUUUAUUUAAUCUCAAUCUACGAAACCAUUCUAAAUUUCUACACAUCACUUCCAGUCUUCUUCAACAUCUUCGUCACCUUCUUAAUCUAAAAUUCGAAAAAGGAGAAAAUAUAAUACAACACACUAAUUAAGCUCCGACUACUAUUUAUUUAAUAAACAGUUACAUAUUGCAUGAACUCCGGGUCGGACUCCAGACCCGCCAUUGUCUCUGGCGCCAAAAUCACCUCCAGAUCAACCGACCCGCCCCCUUCCCGACCCGGAAACGCCGAUAUCUUGCCGUCGAACUUAUUAUUCCGGCCGCUCCGCACCGCCACGGGCCGCCCCCACCCGAAAUCGUUGUCGUACAUCGGGAACCUCGGCGAGCUCCCCAUCAUCACCAUCGUGCCGCCGGGGUUUCCCAGCGGGAAGCACCGCGGCUCCCGCUCCCAAUCCUCCACGUACUUCCGCGCCGCCGCGUCCCCGUGCGCCGCCACGGUUCGGUUCAGCUGCUCCGCGCACCACCGUAGAUUCUCCCCCGCCACCACGUCCCCCGCCAAUGCCGACGUCGGAACGCUCUGGAUCGCGUUCCCGAAGUACAGCGGCUCCAGCUCCGGCUCCAGCCGGUGCCGGCAGUUCACCGCCAUCCGGAACGUCGUCGUUUCGCCUGCCGGCAGCCUCCGCGCGCGCGUGAUCCCGCGCCACAGCAGCGCGCUCAGCGACUGGAACGACGAGAUCUCCGCCUUCGCCGCCGCGGCCGUUGGAUUUGUGUGGUUCCCCGUAACGGCGUUUCUCAGCCAGCUCAACGGCGUAAUCGGCUUCUGCUUGCACAUGAGCGUGUCGUUGGCGUGCUUUCCCAUCAGCUCCGCGACGUUAACGGCGCCGUUAGUUAUCAUCAUAUUGCCGUUAUUGACUCUGGCUUUGAGCUUGAGAAUCGAUUCUCUGCUGAAUCGGAAGAUCCUCUCCCUGAUCGGAGCGUCGCCGGAGAAGGUAACCUUGGGGCCGCCCUCGGGGAGCCUGAGCACCGCCGAGGAGAUCAGAACCGAAUCGCGGCUGAAAUCCGGCGAUCGCGAUAUCCUCUUCACCCCCGAUCUGCUGAGCUCGGCGAAGGUGUUGAAGAAAUUCCAGAAGGAAGUGCCGUCGGCGACGGCGUGGUUGAAGGAGCAGGCGAUGAAUACGCCGUCGGCGAGCUCCGUGACCUGGACGGCGAGGAGCGGGCGGAAAUGGCCGGUGUGACUGACGGCGUGGUCGAAGGCGAAGCAGCUCUUAACGGCCUCGGGCACGUCGCCGUCAGCGGACCCCAGCAGAUCGAUGACGUGGAUGUGGGAGGCGUUAGCGUGGAUAAAGUCGACUCCUUCGUCGUUGCAGUGUAUAUAGACGUAGCCGGCGGCGUCGGUGGUGAGGCGGCCGGCGAGGGGCGGGAAGUGGGUGAGCGAGUGCGAGAGGCUGCGUUUGAGGAGAGAGAGGAGGUCGGAGAUGGGGAAUGGAGGCUUGGCGAACAAGCCGCCUUUCUGGAUAUAGUGGCAGGAGAGCAUGGGGAGGUCGGAGACGGAGAGCUUGAGCUCCGUUAGGGUGGAUUUUUGGGAGGGGGAAACUCUGCAUUUCGAGACAAUUGGCAACGAUUGGGAAACCAUUAUCUUCAUAUGUAUGUAUGUAUAUUUGGAGAGUGAGUGAGUGUGGGAGAAUGGGGAGAGGGGUAUAUAUAGGAGUUGGAGUUGGAAGGUAAUUGAAUUUGCAAGUUGGUGGCGUUGACUGUAGAGAUCAUGUAUAAGUGUAAAUUGUUGGUGGAUGCCACGUGUUUCAAUAUGCCUUCAUAUUUUCACACAUCACUUCAUCUCAUGUGCUAUAAUUCUUGAAAUUUUCACACACCAUCGACAUAUGCCUCUCAUUAGGGCUGUCGAACGGUUCGGGUUCGGUUACCCGUACCCGAAAUUUCGGUUACCCGAACCCGAAAUUAUCAAUUUUCAAUAACCGUUCCCGAACCGUUUUAGGAGUUCGGUUACCCAAUAACCGCUUCGGUUACCCGAUUCGGUUAUUUGGAUAUCCAAAAUACCCAUUUAAAAAAUUAAAUUCAACUAAACUGAUUCAAAAAAAUAAUAUUCAACAUCAAUCACAUUCCCUAUAUCUAAUAGUGCAGUUCGAGGUUCUGAAAAAUUAAAUUGAAAGGAUUUCAGGUUGCAAAAAUAACUAAGAAGGGCACUAUUCAGUAAUUCAAGAACAAAAUUCGAAAAUCAAUUCACAGAGGGCGGCGGACGAAGGGGCGCGGCGGUCGGCGGCGUGGCCGAGCGGCCUGGACUGGAUUCGCGCUUAGGGCAGGCUGGCUGGAAUCCCGAAAGAAGAAGACGGAGGGCGGCUCACAGAGGGCGGCGGACGGACGCGGUGACAGCAUCGGACAGCCGGUAAAGGUGGAGGCGGGCUGAAGAGCUGACGGGAAUGGGAUUCAGGAGGGAGGAGGCGGCUGAAGAGCUUAGGGCGAACGGACGAACAGCGAAGUGGCCGGCGGCGUGGCGGAGCUGCGUCGCGGAGCAGCCUGGAGUCCUGGACUGAUUCAGAAUCGAAGGGCAGGGCGGCGUCGACUGAUGCAGCGUGGCGAAGGGCAGGGCGGCGUCUCACGGAGGCGGCGGACGGCGUCGGACGGAGAGGAGGGGGCGACGGGAUUUGGGAAGAGGAAGAGGGGCAGAAGUCGCGAACAGAACUGACGGGAGGGAGGCGCUGCUGGACUAGGGUUCAUUCCUCCCAAUUUUGUAAUUUCUAAUUUUCUACUAAUUAAUAAUUAAAAUAUUAUAUAUAUAUAUAUAUAUUAAAUAAUUAAUUAAAAAAUUACGGUUAUUCGGUUAACCCGAAUCGGUUAUCGGGUUAACCGAUAACCGAAAAUUUCGUAAAAUCAAUAACCGAAACCGACCCAAUAACCGAAAAUUUCGGUUAUUGGAUACCCAAACCCGGGAAUUUCGGUUCGGUUAAUUGGAUACCCAAAACCCGAUAACCAAUUAGACAGCCCUACCUCUCAUAUAUGUCAUGUUAUUGUUAGAACGUAAGAGUAUGUAAAAUUGAAACAAGACAAAUUGAAUAAAAUGUACAUGAGAUUUAACGGGUCUAUAAAGCUUAUUUUAGUUAAAAGAUGUAUAGUUUAUUAAGAGUUUAUAAAUUUUUGAAGUUUUUGGGUACUUGAGUUUGUAACUUAGAGACAAAAAAUUUAGUUAAAAAAAGAAAAAAAUUGUUAGAGAUUUGAGAGGGUAUAUAAUGAAAAUAAAAAAUUAUAGUUGAAUAAUAUUUAUAAAAAUAACUGUUACGUAUAAGAUUAUUAAAAAAAAAAGUUGAGAUAGAUGAACUUAUUUUUGGGGAUCAUAUUUUUAAAGCUUAUGAGUUGUAGGAGCUUAUUUUGUCAAAUGAUCUCAUAAAUUCCUAAAUAUAUAGCUUAUAAGUUAUUUUAAAGAUUAAAAAGCUUUAUAAGUUCAACAAAACACCCUCUUAGUGUGUAUCACAUAUUUUUCAUCAAUUUUAAUUAAAACUAUAAAUAUAAUAAUAUACGUUGAGUUGAAUAAACCUAAUUACUAAUUAUAUAAUUAAACUAUAACAUUAUAAAAUUGAGAUUGAAAAAAAAAUACUAUAAAACAAAAAAAUUGAAAUGAGCAUAAUACGGAUGGAAAAAGGUUUGCCAAAUUAGGAAAUUGAGGUUAAUAAAGAAAAAAAAAGUGUAUUUAUAUAUAGAUUUAAAAGUUUCUAUAUAUUUGUAUAAAACAAAAAGAGAGAAACUUUCCAUAAAUAGAUAAUUUCAGUAAGUGUGUAUACAUACUAAAAUAGAGUGUAAGGUUGAUUGGUCGAGUGGAAAGUGUUUUUGUACAUGUCGGCCAAAAUUUCGGGCGUAUAAAACAUAUGGAAAGAUUGAAUUGAGGCAACCGUUUAUGAUCUUGUUAAAUUGGUCUCGACAUUUUAGGGCCUUAUUUGAAUUAUUUGUGAAACAUUUACAUGUCGACUAUUUUCAUUUUCAGACUUUCAGUAAUUACAUACGCGAAUAUAUAGAAUAUAGAAAGAUUAGAUGUCGGUUUCAAAAAAAAAAGAAAGAUUAGAUGUCUUAAUGCAUUUUGGGCUUUUGGCUCGUAUAAAUAAAAAGUUACAUAUUUUAUUCGAUUUUGUGGCAUCACAAUUAAGGUAAAUUUUGCAUGUAAGAAGUGAUAAAGUCAUACUAUUUGUUCAUGAGGAGCGACUAAUAGUAACAUAAAAAAUGAAAAUAAUAGCAUAAUAUAACAUUAAAUAAAAAGUCACAUUAUUUGUUAUUUGAGGCGCAAGCAACUUGCGUGCGUUCCACCUUAUUUGAAAUUCAUGAUGCGUUUCGCUAUAUUUCAUAUAGUAAGAGAGCGUUUAUUUUAUAUGAUUGAUAAAAUGAAUGAUUGAAUAUAUUUAUUCUCAAGAGUAUGAUUAUUUCAAUUUCACGCUUUUGAUAAGAUAAGAAUCAAAUAAAAACAGCUUAAAUGAUAAAUAAUAUAUUAAUUUUAUUAUUUCUAAAUUUUUUGAAUUAAACAUUCCAUAAAAAAAAAUACUAAUUGAGUUGCAGUUGGUUAGGCGUUCGUAACAAAACUUGAAGGGUUGGGCGUUCAAAACCUAGUCGGGGCAUUUAUGCGCUUUUUUAUGAGUGUAUAAUAUUUCUAGCAUUCCUUAUAUAAGAAAAACCAUUAAACUACAACCUAAAAUCAUUAGAGAUAUAUAUUUAUCAAAUGAUUCAAAUCAACCGUAUAUCAUGUAAAUAAAUUGAAUAUUUUACAUACUCAUAUAAAGAAUAGCAAAAUUGGAAUGGAUAAGGUUGGAUUGAUGGCACUUCGGGAAUCAGCAAAAUUCUGCUGCCACUUUUAUGGCAGCGCCAGAAUAAGGCUCCAACUUUUAUAACAUCAAUCAAGGAAUUAAACUCAUCUUUACCUUUACUUGUGAAUUUUAUUUGGGACUCUCAAUUAGGGAUGGCAAUCGGGUAUACGGGUACGGAUAGUGACUAUCCAUACUCAUACCUACGAACUAAAUGGAUAGUGAUUUUUACCCACGAAAUUAUCCAUGGAUAUCAAAUGGUAUCCAAACCCGCUACCCGCAGAUACCCGCUACCCGUCGAGUAUCCACAAACCCGCUAUCCGACGGGUAUCCGUCACCCGCUAUUCGCCGGAUACCCACCAUCUACUAUCCGCCGGAUACUCACGAAACAAAAUUUAAAUAUAAAUUUACAAUAAAUUUAAUAGAAAAAAAAAUCAACAUAAAUAACAUAGUUCAAAUCCAUAUGCUGAAAUCUACAAAGAACAAUGUUUAAAUUCAAAUUCAUCAACUAAAAUAUAAAAUUCAACAAAAUUCUAUAAUUACUCAACAAAAUUCAAAUUUAAAUUAGACUAUUAGAAUUUGGGUCUUAGUUCAGUUUCUAUUUGGGCCUAUUUUAAUAUAUAAUAUGUUAGCUCAUAAUCUCAAAAUAUAUAUUCAAAGCCCAUAUUUUAUGAAAUUUUUUGUGGAUAUUUGACGGGUAAUUCACGGAUAAUUGACGGGUAAUUGGCGGGUAUUUUUCGCGGGUAAACGGGUUUCGCGGGUAUGGAUAGUAAGUAUCCAAACCCAUACCCACGAACUAAAUGGAUAGUGAAUUGCAACCACGAAACUAUCCGUGGAUAUCAAAUGGUAUCCAAACCCACCCUAAUAGAUUCGGGUUUUUGCGGAUAUCCGUUACCCGCGGGUAGAUUGUCAUCCCUACUCUCAAUUAAUCUUUUUCCCUUUUUUGGAGAGCCCAUCAAUAUCUUUUUUUUAUAUAAAUUUAUAAUAUUAAAUAAAGAAAUUAUAUGAUCACACCAUAAGAGACUCAAACUCAAGACCUAGCCUUGAACAUUAACUCCUUACCGCUUGACCAACACAUACGCAUAGCCAAUCAAUAUCAUGAAUAUAGCUUUAGUGUUCGAUGUUGUUUUAUAAAAGAGAUUCAUGAUUUUGGGAACGUUAUUAAGAUGUCAAAUUUUAAACUUAAAAUAAAACUAUUUNAUAUAUAUAUAUAUAUAUAUAUAUAUAUAUAUAUAUAUAUAUAUAUCAUCAAAAAAAAAUCUAAGUUUCUUUUUCUUCAUUUUCUGAAAAAUAGGAUUUCACUCUUUUUCGUACCUCUUUUUUCACUUCAAAUAGGUGUGAUAGUUAAUACUCUUUGGAAUGAAAAUAAGAAAUGGUAAAUAAUGAAAAUUUUAUUUUAUUAUAAAAAAAUAAGGAAAAAGAAAUGAGAAAUAUUAAAAAAAAAUUGUUAUUACUUACUCCUUCCGCCCACGAAAGAACUUCAUAUCUUUCCUUUUUGGGACGUCCACAAAAGAAACUUCUUACUUAUUUUUGGACUAUACCCCACCACUUAUAAUAUAUCCUCUUAAUUACUUUUCACUUUUCACAACUCUCAAUAUUAAUUAUAACACUUUUUCACCACUCUCAAUACACUCAACUACCUUUUAUCCACUGGGAAAUAAUGAAAUUUUGUUUUACUAUAAAAAAUAUUGGAAAAAGAAAUGAGAAUAUAAAAAAAAUAAAAUUUGUUAUCACUUAUUUUUUAUUAUAAAUUUACAAUAAAAAAGAAGUAAUUUUAACUGAGAUCGAGAAUUUCCACAUUAUAUACUCGUCAACUUUGAGGUCUUUCAGGUCAUAAUUGACGAUUAGUAAAAUUCUCCUUUGAAGUUUUAGCCAUUUAAAUUGGGGUUUGUAGAUACCAAUACCAAUAUAAUUAAAACUCGAACAUUAUUAAUUCUUUGGGGUCUAAGUUCUUGGACCUUCAAUUGAUUGGAUAUUCUUUUCCGACCCACAUAUAUAAAUGUCUGAGUUGAAGCCCCACCAUAUAAUUAAUAUUUUUCUUUUGACAGUGCUAAAUGACGCAAAUGGUACAAUGAACCCAAAUGAAUCAUUGGAAUGUCUCUUUUUUCAGAUAACUAAUUAAAUAUGUAAAUAUAUUAUGUAAUAUCAGUGAGUGGGCAUGUUUGUUGAUUCAUUUUGACUGCCCAUAAUCAACUUACAGUUUUGAUCUCAUAUUGAUUUCGUUAAUGUAUCCAUAUAUAUGAACAAAUUCAGUGUUAUAUGGCAUAAAACAUCAAAUCAUAUAUACUACAAAACAAUUAAUGCGAUUCAGUUUCUAACUUAUACUAGUACUAUAUAAUGUAGGAAAAGAUAUUGAUAAGGAGCUCCAUUGUUUUUAUUCGACUAAAAACUUAAAAUACUUAUUUUUAUUAAGUUGUAAUAAAAAAUGCUUAUUUUUAUAAAAUUAUUAUAUUUACGUUUAAAUUGAUUAAAUUACUCUUAAUAUCUCAAUUAAUGUAUUUGUAAAAUGAAAAUAGCCUAUUAUCGAAAAAGUAAGCGGCAACUUAUUUUUCCGGCCGACAACCUAUUUAUGAAUUAUGAUUAUGACAUCAACUCAAUAAAACCGAUUCUUUUUUCGACAAUUUUAAUAAAUUUAACAAUAAAGAAUAUGUGAUCAUGCAUGUGAAAUUAAGUCUUAAGUGUGUUUUUUUUUUUUUAAUAAUUAAUCCGAUGAGUUGUUCGCAUAACCGAAUUACCAAAUUGUGAUUAACCAACAACACGGUUUUUAUUCGAUGAUACAGUUUCAAUUUUCAAUUAACCGAAAUUGAUCCCACGAGUAUCAUCGAUCCAUAAAUGAAUUAUGGUCAUGAUUGGUUUUUACAUGGAAUAAUAAUGCCUUUUAUAUAUACAUGCAACAAACUUAAGCUUCAUUUAUGAUAUGAUAAUGUUUUUUUCAUAUGUUAUUAUAACAUGGAUUUUUUUUAUAAAAAUCAUAACUUAUAUAAAAAAUAGUUGUAGAUUAGUUUUUAGUUACUAAAAUAAAAUAAAAAAUAUUUAUAAAUAUUUUUUAAUUAAAAUGCUCUCUAUGUAUAUAGUAGUUAAUUUAUUAAGACAAAUUAACAAUUCCAAUAUAUCUGAGCUAGGUCUGUGUAGCUCAAACUUUUUGACACAAAUAAGUCACUAAAAGUCAAGAAAAUACAACUUGUACACGCGCGAUUCUACCAAUUAUGGCAGCACACAUUCGUACGACUAUCCCCUCGUGCUGAUUAUCUUGAGAUAAAAUUUAAAAUUAAUAUUUUAUGUGUUAAAUAUAAGAGAUAAAAAUAUGAAAAGAUAAAUAAAAAUAUAUUAUCAAAUAAAAAUAUAUCUCAAAAUAAAAUAGAACGCUAAAAAAAGAAACUAUCGCAAAAUAGAUGAAACAGGUGAAGUAAUAUAUAUAUUUACUUUUGUGUAUAUGGAGUAACUUAGAAAAGUUCUUUUAAGAACCACUAAAUAAAAUAAGAAUUUAAUCUUUGGAACUUUAAGAUUUAUGAUGGGUGCUAAUCUUGAUGGAUGAAUGCAGUACCUGAAUUCGAAUUUUAAGUAGUGCGAUUUUUUUUUUCAAGUGUAGUAAAUUUAACAACGAUUAUAUUAAUUUUUAUAGCAAAUGUAAGAAUUUUAAUUGUGCUCAUAUUCUUACAUUUGUAUUUCUCACAUAUAAUAAUAUAUACAUUUUUAUGUUUAAAAAAAAUAAAUUAAAUAAAUCAAAAAUUUUCUUAUUUAAUUAAUAAUUAAUGUGAGUGAUCACACUGUGGCUAUUUAGUACCCACCUUUUAAGAAAUUUACCCAUGUUAAUGAACGUAUACAAUCUCCUUCUCUCUAUAUAUAUAUAUAUAUUAAAAAGAAAACAUGAUCAUUUUACAUAUUUAAUUUAGGAUAUAGAAUAACAGGGAGAUGAUUCAAAUACAACUACAACUUUUUUUUCUUGAGUCAGAGGGAUUUUAAGGAUCGUAACUUAUGUUGAUUUGAAAAUUAGGACAAUAAUUUUUAUACUUGUAAAAAUAUGACACUAAUUAAUAAGCGAAGCACCCGCAGGACAUUUAUGGGUCAAUUAUCAAAUUUUCGAACUUUUCCGUACAAACUAAGCAUAUGUCAAGCCGUAAAAAUGACAUGUUUGCCACAUAAUCAAUCCCUCCGUGCGGGUUGUCAUGUGCUUGGUCUGUGCGGAAAAGUCCGAAAAUUUGAUAAUUGGCCCAUAAAUAUCAUGCGGGUGCAACAGUUAAUUAAUAUCUUAUUUUUAUAAGUUCGAAAGUUAUUGUCUUAAUUUUCAAAUCAACCUAAGUUAUUGUCCUAAAUAACCCUCUGACUCUUUUUUUCUUUGUAAUUUCUGGCAAUUUCCCCCAUCGACUCACGAAAAAUUAUCAUUAAUUGAAACGGACUAAUGAAAUGUUAAUGAGUUUUUUUAUUUUGAUUGAAUACCCCAGCGGAGGUAUCAGGCUAUCAGCACCUUAUAUUAAAAAAACAUAUAUAAAAAUAAUAUUUUUUUCAUGCAUGUACCUAUGCAAGACUGCAACCGAGUAAUAAUAUUCCAAAACACGAACAAAAUUCUUUAUUAAAAAAAUUGACUGAAUAAUUAGAAUUGGUGACCAAUUGUUCCUCCAGAAGUCAACUGCAUACCAACUAAAUUCCUCGGGAGAAAGUAUAUGUACUAUGUAACUUAAAUAAUGCUUAUUUUGUCAACAUAAGUAAGAAAUUAUGAUAGUUAAGCAGUUGUGGAAAUAAUUGUUUACUGAUUAUAUAAGUAUGUCAAAACAACAUUUUGUAUAUAAUUAAUCCUGAAAGAACUAAUAUUAAUUAUUUAAACUGGGGCGAAUCUACCCUAGGGCUCAUAUAUAUCUACAUAGUCCAACUCAUAGUCCAACCCAACUUAAAAAAAAAAAAAAAAAAAAAAAAAAAAACUUUACAACAUAAUAAUGAAAGUAAUUUAUUUUUGUAGAAAAUAGAUAUAGGAGGUACGUAGUUUAUAUGUGCUUUCAAUGUAGUAUCUUUUAUUGAAUCAAUAGAAAGAAAACAAUUAUUUAGUCGGUGAUCGAAUUCUAAUCCUAAGUUCAUUAAAAUUCUACUUGAACAUAUAAAUUAAUAUCUGUACUACGAACUAUCCAAAAAAAUUGACUCAAGUUUCAUACCUCAACAAGUUCAGCUAGCACCCUUACAACACCUAUAUAUAACUAUAUUUUAUCAAUAAAUUUUUUUUUGAAAUAUAUAAGGUUUUAAUCAAGAAAACCCGAAAAGUUCAAGAUAAUUAAUUUGAUGCCAACAACUAAAUCCAAUUUCUUAGAAUCUCAUCCGCCAAUUAUUUAGCCCAAAAAACAAAAAGGCAAAUUUGAGAAGUAAACAAAAGAGGGUGAUAAUUUGUUUGACUUUGUGAGAAGUGUAUGCAUGCAUGUACAUAAUCGUUUAACGUCACAAGUUCUUGCAUAUUGGCCUCAAUUAUGAGUGCUAUUAUUCGAUUUUAAUGACAUACAAAUAUAUUUUUAUAUUUUUAAUCUUAUCGCAUCUCUCUUACUUCAACUAUGAUAUACUGAUAUUUAAGUCAAGAACGUUGAUGUUUUUGCUUGACAAUAUAAGAUAAUACUUGAUGUUUUUGACUGGAAUGAUCUUGUAUACAUUGUACUAUAAGAUACUAAUUAUGUUUAAUUAUAUAUAUUAAAUUAUCUACCACUAUAUAAAUAUAAUAGCUAGCCAGGAGAGUGAAAUUAUAGUAAUUUAAAUAUGUAUUAAUUUAUAAUGUCAGGAAGGUAAAAUUAUCAUAGUUUAGUCUUUUAAUAUAUAGAUUAUAAUAUGUUAUUGUAUUUUGUAUUACAUAUUUCAUCUAGGAGGUGGUAAUAGAUAUCUUAUAUUUUAAAACUAAUAUUCAUUACGUCCCACUAAAAAUAGUCUAUAUUUCAUUUUGGAUUGUCCCACUAUAAGUGAUUGUUUUUAUAAUUAAUAAAAUUUAAUUCUUAAAAAGGUGUAAAUUCUAUCACUUUUAAUAAAUUUACAAUUUUUUUUUUAAUUUGGGUGCCCAAAUUUGUUGUGCUACUUAUAAUGGGAAGGAGUGAUGAGUAAUAUUUUAGGAUGUUAUAGAUAUAUAUACGUACUAUACAUCCUUAUUCCAUGAGGACACCAAACGGUGUGAACUCAUGUCUAUGAACAAUGAGACUUAAAGUUCAAACUUCGUCGCUCUCUCUUCCCCAGAAAAAAUAAAAAAAUCACAAGUAGUAUAUGAGCCGCAAAAAAUAAAUACAUGCACAAUGCAUUAUGCAUGUAUAUAUUUCAAAAGCAAAUGAUUAUAUACUUCUUAUUCCCACGACAAUCAAGAUGGUAUAGAAGUUGAUAAAACAAUAUUCCAAAAUUCUUUUUCUUCUAAAAAAAAAUUCCAAAAUUCUUUAGCAAUUCUAAUUGUUGAGUGGCACGCCACACACAUAAUUAAUAUACGUACUGUAAAAACAUCAUCAUCACAAAUACAUUGUGAAUAUAUUUUAUCAGAUUCAUGAAUGAAAAAAAUAAUUCCAAGUGGGAUCUGUUUGAGGACUCAUGAGUCAAUGGAGCGCAUAUAAAUCCAGGAUAAGGGUUGCAUGAUUAAAUGGACUUUGAAUAUUUUAUAGCAGCAUAUAUUAUAUAUAUGUAGGCAAAUAAAAUAAAACAAAAUAUGCAGUGUUGACGACUUAUGUAGGGGAAAUACAUUGUACAAGAUGAUAUUUUGGUUUGAAGAAUGUUAAUUAUACGAAUCCAUCCAAAAAUGAGGGGAGCUUAAUUAGACACUAGUAAUUGAAGAGGACAUAAAGUUCAUCAUCUACUUGCUUACCACAAACAUAAACAAACUUUUAAUUUGUUAGCCCAUACACGAGGUUGACUAUAUAUAUUUAUAUUAGAUAUAACGUCGAAACAAAAUUUGUUAUUUAAAAGAAAACAUUCAAAAACAAGCCCCAGAGGGCAAUGAUACAUACUGUAGUGUAGACCCACAUUAGGAUUUUAUUUUUAUUUUUUUCCGAAAAAAGAAGAUUUUAACCUUCCAACGUUCUGGUGCUGCCUCCACUAAAGGCCAAAGGGGCCAAAAAGUUGCUAUUCAUGAAUAAAUUACGUGCUUUUAUCAAAUUAUUAAAUUGGAUUCUUUCAUCCCAUUAGUUAAUGGUUCACUUUCAUUUUUCGUCUAUCUCAUUAUCAAUGACCUAUUCCAAAAAAAAAAAACCUUCUUUUUUCUUAAAAAAUUGUGGUCUUACCACUUUUUAUCAUUUAAUUAAUUUUUUUCUUAUAAUCGUGUCGAACAGUAAUGAGUCAUUAAGACGGAGUGAGUAUUUCUUUAUUUACAUUUGAGGAUUUAAUAAUAAUAAUAAUAAUAAUAAUAAUAAUAAUAAUAAUAAUAAUAAUAAUAAUUUUUAUUAUUAAUGAUGAUAAAUUUUUAGAAUAAAGUAAAUAAAAACAAAAUUUUCCAAUAUAUAUAUAUAUAUCCCGCAAAUUUUCAAUCAUUGCGAAAAUGUUAAGCCAUGAUAAAUUUUAUGGAAAUGAGAGAAAGAAAAGGAAAAGAGCUCGAUCAAGUUUUUUUUCUUAUGAAUUAAUAAGUAAAUAAAAAAAUUUAAAAAUCACAUCAUAAUAAAUUCGAAUUCAAAAUUUUUAAUUUUAAAUAUUAAUCACACUAUCACUAAAUCAACAAUUUUAAAUUUACCAAUAGCUUCAUCACAUGGAAUCAUUUUUCUUCUUUUAUAUCCCACUUUCAAUGUUUGAUAUAGUUUGUAAUUAUUAUUUAUCGUUUAUCCGAAAAACACCAAGACAAAGAACCCACUAUAAACUAGUAUAAUAAAUUUCUCAGUGGUAAAUCAUGAAAAGGAAAAGUAAUACAUACGUACACAACUUACAUGAGAUAAAGAUGCAGAUUCUUAUUAUUUGUUUUAAAUAAAGAUGCGAUAAUGGCCGUGGGAGAAUGAAUGAGAGAUUUAUUUAAUUUUUAAGACCAAUAAAAGCAUUGAGUGGUGGGCAUUUGUUUGUUCAAAUAUGAUUUGGCACAAAUAAUGAUGUGGGAGAAGUAGUAGACAAAUAUGUUAUCAAUUUGAAUAGUGAGAUGACAGUUAUUCAGUAUUUUAUAUCAAAACAAUCUUGUGCUCCCACUCGAUCUAUCUGAAAUUGCGUGGGGCUGAAUGAAUUAAAUUUAUCAAAUGUAUUUUUUUUUCACCCAUUUUAGACUAGCACCCAAAUUCAAUGAAUUGUAUUUGUGGUCACAUAGCUAGGCCUAUUAUAAUUUUAAUAUUAUAAAAGUUUGUUUUUUUGGAUUCAUAAAACAAGAAAAGGACAUUUGUGAACAAAAUAUAAAGUACAUAUUGAGAAAUGAGAAUCAUUGAUUGGCUAGGGGAUAAUAGAAAGGAUCAAGUUGAAUUCGUCACAAAAUAAUUUGCUAUCUUUGAUUGGGUUGAUUUUAGUUUUUAUCUCAGCCUUUGUCAUUUAUAUUAUAUUAAAAAAAAUCAAGAUUUCAAUUUAAAAUCAAUUUUAAAAUUAAGUGUGUUAAGUUGAGUUUUAGACUCAACGGCAAAAUUUAGGAAAAUUGAAGAAAAUCGAGUUAAGAUUUAAAAACUAAGAAAUUGAGAGGAAAAAUUUUGGAGAAAGAAGAUAGUAUUUGUUUUUUUUUUUUUUCCAAUUGUUGAAUGACCUUUUUUUCUUUAAAUUGAACUUAAGGGCCUUAUUUAUAGCCUAUUAUUUAGAUAUAAAUAUACAAUGAUAAGGCCAAUUUAGUCUCGUUUUAAAGCCCAAAUAAUAGGAAGAAUACAAUUUAAAUUAUAUGCACUUUUAUAUAUAUCCAGCACUAAUCGGAUCUAAUCGUCAUUCAAAUAUGUUAAGUGUCUGGCUUUAUAUUUGUCCUUCGCUUCAAAGAUAAAAUUCUUUUUCUGCCCAUCUGUCUUUUUAUUUUUAUCUUUUCUGUGGUUUCAAAAUCUGCGUCUUUAUAGUUAGAAUAUAAAUCUUUUGUCUUUCGCUUUUAUUCUGAUCCUCCUUUCAUUUUAUCUUUCUAUUUUGUAUUUUUUGCUGAAGCCAAAUCUGAAUGCAUGUAUUUAAACGUCGAAAAUCGUCCUCAUCAGAGUGACACCUGAGAGUUACUCGUGAUAAUUUUGUUAACGUAACAGUAAACCUAUAUAAAUAUAAUAGUAGACUAACUCAAUUCAAAUUCAAAUAUGUAACGCAUGAAACCUUCACUACAAUUUAGUCAAACAUGAAUGAAAACUGUAUAUAUAUACUACAAUAAUAAUUAUAGUACAUAAGAGUACGAAACGUUUAAUUUGAAUUUCUUGAAUACAUGUGUGAUGUGAGAGUCCGACACACAAAUUUUGGUGAGUCCCAACAAUGCAAGAGCAACUUGAAUUUUAGGAUAAUUAACCUUCUCUUUUAGACUUGGAGUCAUAUGAAACCUCCACCAUUUUUUAUUUAUUUUUAAUUAUUUAUCUAUUGCACCAGUCCACUAAAAUAAUACAUAAUUGAGGGUGUCACAAGUUUAAAAAAAACCGACCCUAUUUAUUUAAUGAGUGGAGAAAUGAGCCCACAAAUUAAAAAUAAAAAAUUAAUUAAGUUAAUAAGCGGAGAAAGGAGCCCACAAAAUUAGUCGAAUCAUUACUAAAAAUAAAUUAUAACAACUUCCUCCGUCCCAUUACAAAUAUCUCAUUACUUUUGGGUACGGAUGUUAAGAAAUGUGUAAAAAGUAGAUAAAGUGGAUUGGUAUAAAUUAUUUAAAUAUCAGGUAUAGAGAGAGAGAAUAUAUUGCCCAAAAAAGGAAUAAAACAUUUGUAAUGGGACAUCCCAUUUUAAAAAAUGAAACAUUUGUAAUGGAAUGAAGGGGUAGUAUUUUUGUAGACAAAUGAAAAUGAUAAAUUAAGGCUUAUGUUUUGUGGACGGAGGGGAUUAUUAGACAAAUCUACAAGAGAAAUUUAACAAAAAAGAUAGUGAUAGAAAUUAAAAUUCAUGACGUUACGCCAUAACUUCAUAAGCAUAAUUUUAAAUCUUUAGGAUAGAUGUUUUGAAGGUAUAUUCUUGAUCGACUACAAGAAUAUGAAGUUUUAUCCACACAUAAUUUGUGACACAUAAUAGGUAAAUUCAUUAGAUAAUUUUAAAUAAUUAAUACUAUGUGUAGGUAAAAAGAUUUAGUCACAUUUAUUUUUUUAUUUUUUAUUUUCCGUUUAACUCUUAAUAUAUUUAAUGCUGUAGAAAUUUUAGCCACACAUAAUUAUGUGUGGCAAUAUACCCACACAUAAUUGAAUAUGUGUAAGUAAAUUAAGUAAAUUUAUAAUCAGAGCGAAUACAUCCAUACCACAAAUUAUCACCUAUAAUAAAUCUAUGUGCCAUAUUGCGAUAAAUUAUUAUUUAUUUACGUUCGUAAAUUUAAUUCUAGAGGUAUUGGCCUGUAAAUAUUCGAACUUUUUCCAUUUUCCAGUUUUGCACCCUAACUUUAAAAUCUCUAUAAAUACUUGAACUUUAUCUUUUUUCUGAUUUUGAACCCGGUGAAUUUUUACCCUCAAAUCGUUGUUGACAUGACAAUCGAAUUGAGAGAAAAGUUUGAAGUGCAUAAUAAAAUCGAUAAAUUUGUUGUUAAUAUGAGAUCUAGAAUAUGUAAUUAUAAGUUUUGGGAUGUUAAUUCCGUUGUCAUGUCAACAAAUAUUUGAGAGUAAAAAUUCAUCAGGUGCAAACUCAGAAAAAAUAUAAAAUUGAGAAAUUUAUAGACAGAUUUUAAAUUAGUGAAAACUAAAAAAUAGAAAAAUUCAGUAUUUAUACCAAUACCCCUUAAUUCUAUAAACCAGAUUAAACAACAACGUAUUCUGAUAUUUCAAACGACGUGUCAGAUACACCAUUAACAAAAGCAAACAAACACAAAAACCAUUUUCACUUGAGACAGGUUUAUAUGCAUGCACUUAUCUACUGAGGUGGCCCACAAAGUUUGAACUUUAGGUUUAGGGUACAUGUUCUGAAAUUUUUGGCCCAUCUUCAAUUAACCUCUCUUUCAUUAAGUUCACAAAACAUGCGAUUGAACCUAUUUAGGUCUCUUAAGGUAUUUAGAUAUAUAUAUAUAGAGAGAGAGAAAUGAUCUAGUAUUAAAAAUUUAUAAGUAGUGUGAGAAUUGAAAAUUUAUCUAAAGAGUUGCAAGUAAGUCAUUUCGUUUUGACGAACAAGUCAAUAACUUUUAUAAACAAACAUUUUGAUUUAGGUGGCGAAAUUUUCAAUAUACUAUAUAAAUACGUCUAUUCAUCAGUUAUAUUGAUUUAUUGGUAGAUUUUUUUUGAUUUUUGGUUAUUAUUCUCAUUUUUAGAGAGAACACACACACACACACCUGCAGAUGAUCUAUUCGAAAGGAGGGCAAGAAUAUUAGAGGAAUGAGUAAAACUCAAAAGGUUCGAAAAGCAAUAAUAAAUGACCAAGAUUUUGUUAGUAGAUGUUGGAGAUUUGGCAUUACAUGAGCCCAACUUUUUUGAAGUUCCAAAUGGGUCCAAAAAAUCAAACCAAUAAAACCCGUGCGGCAAGAGAAAAUACUGUAUUUUAUUCUUAGGCCUAUCAACAAAUGCUUUCCUUGGAAUAACUAAGAUUGCACCUCAUUAUUUUUUUAUUUUUUUUUGAUAAAUUAACAAUAUUAAAUAAAAAAAUUUAAAGGUCGCGCCACAGGGGACUCAAACCCAAAACCUUUGGCGUUGGACAGUAACCCCAUACCGCUUGGCCAACACACGAACACAAUUGCACCUCAUUAUUAAAAUAUCGUUGCAUGUUGACUUGAUAGUAGAAUUUCACCAUAUAUAUGAGUUGACAUAUAAGAUGAAAUAUAAUGGCUNCUUUGUAAGGCAAAGUAACUUUCAAUAUCAAAAUUCAAAAAAAAAAAAAUACUCUAGAAUCCAAUCCAAAACAUGAUGUGACAUAAAUUAAUUAUGUUUUUUACUUAUUCUAAAAGUCUUAACUCUAAAGUUUACAUAUCAAUUACAGUAUAAAAUAGCUCAACAAGAUAAUGAUGUAGAUAAAAUUAUAUAUUUUUUAUUUUUAAUAUAAAAUUACAAAAAUAUCUUAGUAUUUUUUAAAAUCCCAGGGGGGCCCAGUGACCCCCUGCCCCACCCCUAGCUCCGCCCCUGCUCAAUAUUGUAGAGUUUUGAACGACAAAAUACAGCUCAAUUCGUACAACGUUUUCCCUUUAAAUAGUACUCAAUCCGUCUCACGGAUCUUGACACGUUUGGUUUCGGCACGAAAAUUAAGGAGUUGUAAAUUAGUAAUUUAAGUGCGUAAUUAAUAAAGUACUAUAAAAGUAAUAAAGUAUGAGAGAGAAGGUAAUAAAAGUGAUAAACUAGGAGAGAGUGUAAUAAUUACUAUUACUUUAUUUGAAAAUGUGUCAAGAUUCGUGGGACGACUCAAAAAUGAAUACAUGUCAAAAUUUGUGGGACGAAGGGAAUAUUAGAUUGAAAGUUCAAAUCAUCAUUUGAAGAAAUGAAAAAUCAUUAUUAAUCUUCUUAAAUUUUAGAAAGGACGAAAAAGAAUCACAAAACAAACAGGUGCUUGACUAAAUUUAUUUUAAAAAGUUUAUAAGCUCCAAAACAAAAUAAAAGAUUAAAACAAAUCACAGAAUAAACAAGUAUUUGACUAAACUUAUUAUGAAGAACUUAUAAGUAGUCAACGUAUUUGGCUAAUUAAGCUUAUAAGAUAAAGAAAUAAAAUUGAAAAGAUAUAUAUUAUGCAUAACAUCGAAAUAACAAAUCAUGGCAAAAUUAUUUUUAUAAAUUAAUUGUUACUUAGUAUAAGAUUAUGCAUAAAUAAAUUGAAUUAAUGAACUUAUUUAUUUAUUUAAUAUUUUUUAUAAUUAACAAGUAAAUAAAAAAAAUUAAAGAUUGCACUAUCGUGGACUCGAACUCAUGACCUCCAACCUUGGACAUUAACCACCUAUCGCAAGGCCAAACGUGUUUUAAGAAUUUAUAAGCUCUUAAAUAACUUAUACUAAGAUGUUUUAAAAAGUUUAUAAGCUCAACUAAAACACCUCUAAAUCUUUAUUUUCACAACACUUAAGAUGUGAAGGACAAGUCAUUUGGCCUUUUUAGUAUGACUUCCACCAAAAGAAAAGGAGUAGAAAAACAGGAAACUAUAAAUAACAAACUGCAGAACUAGAAUCAAAGCACACCACUAUUUCAUAGGUAAUAAAAGAAUUUAGCAUUGGUGUUUUGUUUCAUUGUUCUGGGCAUUCUCUGUUUUAGCACAUAUACCCUGAUUCUUAUAUAGCCUUAAGGGGGCAUUUGAUUUUUAUGAUUGAUAAGAUGCAUGAUAGAGUAUUUCUAUCUUCAUUACUAGGAUAUCUCCAAUCUCAUCCUUUAAAUGGGACAUGAAUCAAAUAAAAUUAGCUCAAAUGACAGAAAUUAACAAGGAACUUUGAAUAUUCCAAUGUUUCAAUCCAUCUAAGUAAAUAAAGAAUUAACCAUAAUAUUUUUAUCUAUUAAGGUUAAUCGUCAAAUGUAAACUCUCCUAAAAGCAUUAACAUGUCUUAUUUAAAGAAAUUCUACCAAAUCGAGAGAGGCAGAACUAAAUUCUCCCAAAUACUUCUUUGCAUAACAUUAUCUGUGGAUCAUAUAUAUAAGAGCAAAUAAGACAUAGGAACCCAACAAGGAUACUAGUAGUCAAGAACAGAAUCACUAGUAAAUACUCCUAGUCUCCUAGAUGUAGAAGUAGAACAUAUUAUGAAGCCUGUGUCGAGCACCAAUAAACAGAAUACGCUUCAAGUUACCUGAAAAACUAAUAGCAACGAAAGUUGAUCCAAAUCCUUGAUCAGAAUACUUAGUUUGACACUAUAUGAACAUGAUGAAUAAGUAACCAACUCAUCCUGUUGCUAUGAACUAUGCAGCAAUGUUUGAAUUUACAGAAACAUUCUAAUAUCUGAUUUAUUUGUUAGAGCAAAGUGGAAUUGAGUCACAAACAUUUAUGUGCUGACAAUACUACUUAACAAAUUCCCGAGAAGCUGUUCAGGAUCUAUGAAUCUUGCCAUGUAUAUCAUGCAUAUUUGCUAAAUAAUCUAGUCAUAUUUAGAGCAUGCACGAAUGUAGAUUGUGUAGCAUCUAUACAGGAGUAAGGAACAACAACACGUAACAAAAUCUUACCACUAGCUCCAAGCCAAUUUAUAUUAGCUACCCAACCAUAGGGAGAACCCAAAUAUGCAGCUUAAAAAGCCCGAUAUUGACUUCACUCUACUUCUAUCAAGAUUUAUAAAUGAAGGAACAUAAUAAUUGCAUUAGAAAAUGUUCAUACACAUGAUGACAUGAACCAGCAUUCGACCAAAUCAGAAUAAGAACGUAUAAAGCAAGGUCAUUCCGGCCAAAGGAGAAGGCCAUAUUGAACUAAUUCCAUGCUCUAUCUCAUAAGGGGUUCAAAAAACAGAUGAAACCUCCUGACUAUUAUCUCAACAUAAAAUCAAUAAACUAGCUUAGAUCGAAUAAAAAGCAGCUGUGAUGUUCCUUACUAACAAAACACGUAACACCUUUCAAAAUUUAAGCUGCACAAGUAAAUUAACCCAACUGCACAACUGAACCCUAUGAAACUGCAAAAAGAAUAGCAAUGCAUACCAUACUAAGAACAAGGCAAUCCAGAAGCUCAACAAUUACAAUGACAGAGAUAGGAUAGGACUCCAUAAACGGAGAGAGAUAUACUAGAAAACAUAGCUUACUCCUCGCAACACCAGAAGUUUAUAUACAUAUAUCAGCACAACAUCUCUGAGAGACACUUCUCAGAGUUCAAAUCCUCCAUUGAAACACAAUUCACAGAGAACGUCCAAUCUUUAUAUAUAAAAUUUAACACGGAGUCAUACUGGGAGCAAAUAGUUAGAGCGAAUUAGAGCUUACAUUAAUAAUCACUUCGAUACUCGCCAUACCGAUCAUCCCUCGCAGUUGAAGAAACCAUAUCAUUCUCCACUCUUUCUGCAAUCUUCUCUUCCUCAUAUUUAAUACCUUCAUCUAAUGACAGCCCGCCGAGAGCUCCAGCCGCCGCUCCCACCGCCAAUCCCGUUCCCAUUCCUAUUCCCGGCUUCCCCAAGCUCCUCUUAUGGUAAUCAUAUGGUGUGUAAUCCACCGGAGCGCUCGGCCCCGAGGCCCCUGAUCCACCGUAGCUCGACUGCGACUGCAACGGCCGCUCUAGAAAUGGACGAGCUGGUGGCGGUGGGGGCGGUGCCGGCGAAGGCGAAUAAUAAGACGAAUAAUAGCCUGAGUGCGGAUCCGAGUAGGAGUAAUAGGGCUGCGGAGGGGGGAAAACGACGACGGCGGCGGUAGAGUAGAAUACGGCGAAGGAGAGUAUCCCCCGUAUAAGGGCAUGGGCGGUGGAGGGGCAGAAAAGUUAUAAUAACCGGUAGCAGGGGGCAGGAUGGUAAUUCUCUACGGGGCGCUCAACCAAGCCGAUCUUCAGCCGGAUCUUACCGUGGGGCCGGCCGGAGGGGCGGAGGAGCUCGAAGGUCCUGAGUCGAAUUGCCGAGUCGGCUGAGUCGCCCAGGAGAUCUCGGAGUUCGAACCGGUGCGCGCCGACCAAGGGUUUCGACGUCUCCGACGGUUUGGAGUGGAAGACUUCCAGCGUUAGGGCGGAGUCCCUGAGCGGGAGACUGAGCGGUAGAACGAAUCGCUCGUUCCAAACGGGUCGGGUAGAUCCGGAGUCGUCGGGCUUGGUGGCCUGGCGGCGGUCCGGGUCGACCCACAGGAUGACGUAGGGUUUGAGAUCGCCGUUCCUCCAAUUGACGUUCUUCAGGUGCUUAGCGGAGACGAUUGUGACAUCGAGAUCGUAGAGCUUCGGUUGCGGCCGAUGAGUGGUGCCGGUGGCCAUGGCGGAGGCGGUUUGGUGGCGUCGGGUAACGUGCGCCGCGGAAAAAAGUUGGAGUGCGAAGGAUAGUGUAGAAUGAGAAGAUUGGGAUUGUUUGUCAAUUUGGCGAACUGGUUAGGCGAAAAAGUUCCAUUUGUCUUUUGCGGUCCCAGCUUGAACCAUCAAGGCUCGAGCUAGACCAUCUCCAACCAAGACCAUCAGCCCUUUAAACC